UACAGAGAGGGCAAGCGUUGUUCGGAAUUACUGGGCGUAAAGGGCGCGUAGGCGGCCGCCUAAGUCAGACGUGAAAUCCCUCGGCUCAACCGGGGAACUGCGUCUGAUACUGGGUGGCUUGAAUCCGGGAGAGGGAUGCGGAAUUCCAGGUGUAGCGGUGAAGUGCGUAGAUAUCUGGAGGAACACCGGUGGCGAAGGCGGCGUUCUGGGCCAAUACUGACGCUCAUGCACGAAAGCGUGGGGAGCAAACAGG
Molecule: ribosomal RNA, 253 nt
Filed under: uncultured bacterium
Lineage: Bacteria
Description: partial 16S ribosomal RNA
Rfam family: Bacterial small subunit ribosomal RNA
Source: RNAcentral